AUAGCCGCACUGAGCUCCUUGAGAGUGUACUACUAGUGCCCAAACUUUAAGUGAGAAGCCUUGUGGACGGCCGAUGAGGCCUGCUCCACCAACUAGAUCUCAUUGUUCCCAACCAAUGAUCGACUACCAAUGCUGUGCCCCAGGAAGGUGAUUCCAUGAUACUUUUAGGUUUCCACAUGGAUUUCUAAAGAUAGGGAGGAGAAUAGAUGGCUAGGAAUGAAUAGGAAAGGAGUUUCAGAGGGUGAAGGACUUGGGG
RNAcentral lists this long non-coding RNA (256 nucleotides) under Elaeis guineensis (African oil palm). Its description in RNAcentral is "long non-coding RNA (EGUI_LNC013500)". The record is from RNAcentral. Lineage: Eukaryota; Viridiplantae; Streptophyta; Magnoliopsida; Arecales; Arecaceae.